Molecule: ribosomal RNA, 402 nt
Filed under: uncultured bacterium
Lineage: Bacteria
Description: bacterial SSU rRNA
Rfam family: Bacterial small subunit ribosomal RNA
Source: RNAcentral
UGAGGAAUAUUGGGCAAUGCCCGCAAGGGUGACCCAGCAACGCCGCGUGAGGGAUGAAGUAUUUCGGUAUGUAAACCUCGAAAGAAUGGGAAGAAUAAAUGACGGUACCAUUUAUAAGCUCCGGCUAACUACGUGCCAGCAGCCGCGGUAAUACGUAGGGAGCAAGCGUUGUUCGGAUUUACUGGGCGUAAAGGGCGCGUAGGCGGCGCGGUAAGUCACUUGUGAAAUCUCUGAGCUUAACUCAGAACGGCCAAGUGAUACUGCUGUGCUAGAGUGCGGAAGAGGCAACCGGAAUUCUUGGUGUAGCGGUGAAAUGCGUAGAUAUCAAGAGGAACACCUGAGGCGAAGGCGGGUUGCUGGGCCGACACUGACGCUGAUGCGCGAAAGCCAGGGGAGCAAACG